GACGAACGCUGGCGGCGUGCUUAACACAUGCAAGUCGAACGAAGAGCGAUGGACGCUUGCUUCUAUCAAUCUUAGUGGCGAACGGGUGAGUAACGCGUAAUCAACCUGCCCUUCAGAGGGGGACAACAGUUGGAAACGACUGCUAAUACCGCAUACGAUCUAACCUCGGCAUCGAGGAAAGAUGAAAGGUGGCCUCUAUGUAUAAGCUAUCACUGAAGGAGGGGAUUGCGUCUGAUUAGCUAGUUGGAGGGGUAACGGCCCACCAAGGCGAUGAUCAGUAGCCGGUCUGAGAGGAUGAACGGCCACAUUGGGACUGAGACACGGCCCAGACUCCUACGGGAGGCAGCAGUGGGGAAUCUUCCGCAAGGGACGAAAGUCUGACGGAGCAACGCCGCGUGAGUGAUGACGGCCUUCGGGUUGUAAAGCUCUGUUAAUCGGGACGAAAGGCCUUCUUGCGAAUAGUGAGAAGGAUUGACGGUACCGGAAGAGAAAGCCACGGCUAACUACGUG
Molecule: ribosomal RNA, 510 nt
Filed under: uncultured bacterium
Lineage: Bacteria
Description: partial 16S ribosomal RNA
Rfam family: Bacterial small subunit ribosomal RNA
Source: RNAcentral